AUUGAACGCUGGCGGCAUGCCUUACACAUGCAAGUCGAACGGCAGCGGGCCUUCGGGUGCCGGCGAGUGGCGAACGGGUGAGUAAUGCAUCGGAACGCGCCAUUGAGUGGGGGAUAACGUAGCGAAAGUUGCGCUAAUACCGCAUAUUCUGUGAGCAGGAAAGCAGGGGACCGCAAGGCCUUGCGCUCUUUGAGCGGCCGAUGUCAGAUUAGCUAGUUGGUGAGGUAAAGGCUUACCAAGGCGACGAUCUGUAGCGGGUCUGAGAGGAUGAUCCGCCACACUGGAACUGAGACACGGUCCAGACUCCUACGGGAGGCAGCAGUGGGGAAUUUUGGACAAUGGGGGCAACCCUGAUCCAGCCAUGCCGCGUGAGUGAAGAAGGCCUCGGUUGUAA
Molecule: ribosomal RNA, 394 nt
Filed under: uncultured bacterium
Lineage: Bacteria
Description: bacterial SSU rRNA
Rfam family: Bacterial small subunit ribosomal RNA
Source: RNAcentral